Molecule: ribosomal RNA, 91 nt
Filed under: Kosakonia sacchari
Lineage: Bacteria; Pseudomonadati; Pseudomonadota; Gammaproteobacteria; Enterobacterales; Enterobacteriaceae
Description: 16S rRNA. Bacterial SSU
Rfam family: Bacterial small subunit ribosomal RNA
Source: RNAcentral
UUAAAUUGAAGAGUUUGAUCAUGGCUCAGAUUGAACGCUGGCGGCAGGCCUAACACAUGCAAGUCGGACGGUAGCACAGAGAGCUUGCUCU